UACGGGGGGGGCAAGCGUUGUUCGGAAUUACUGGGCGUAAAGGGCUCGUAGGCGGCCAACUAAGUCGGAUGUGAAAUCCCCAGGCUUAACCUGGGAACUGCAUCCGAUACUGGAUGGCUUGAAUCCGGGAGAGGGAUGCAGAAUUCCAGGUGUAGCGGUGAAAUGCGUAGAUAUCGGGAGGAACACCCGUAGCGAAGGCGGUACUCUGGGCCGAAACUGACGCUGAGGAGCGAAAGCGUGGGGAGCGAACAGG
RNAcentral lists this ribosomal RNA (253 nucleotides) under uncultured bacterium. RNAcentral describes it as "partial 16S ribosomal RNA". It matches the Rfam family "Bacterial small subunit ribosomal RNA", at positions 524 to 776 of the family's 1533-position model. The record is from RNAcentral.